CUCCGGAGGAAACCAGUGUGGAGAUGGAGGGCAGCUGCCCAAGAGCGUCCUCCCAGAGCUCUCGCAGGCCCGUCACAUCCCGGAAACGCUGACUCACUGUGGCAGGCCGCCAGGGCUCCAGAGGAUCCCCUGGACCAGCUCCUCUCCUCUCGUCUUUUCCAUAUACAGACACUGAGAUCCAGCAAAAGGAAGGGGUUUGUUCAAGGUCACCUGGCAAGGCAGAGAGAGAGAAACUGAUGCACAGGAAUGGACUGACUUCCCCAGGGUCCUCCAUCCUGAGCUCACGGUUGACUUGGACCUGGGUGUGCCGGAUCUCCUGAGCUUCUCCUGCCAUGGCAGUCUGGUACCCACAAUUUAGGUUACUUCAGGCUCAGAGAGCCCCUGCAUCACUACCAGGCAGAAGAAGAAGCAAGGAACACGGAGGGGCACCUGCUCAUGGCCUCUGAUUUUAGCUCCUAUCUCAGGAUUCCCCACAUCUGGAGAGGAGCUUUACAGACUCCAGCUUGUCACAGGAUUUUGCACCCAAAAUCUUGUUUGAUCCACCUGGCUCCAGAGACAGGGUCUUGCAAAGUUGACUAGGCUGGUUUCAAAUGAGAUCCUUCUGUGUCGACCCACUGAGUAGCUGGGAUUGCAGGUGUGAACCACUGUGCCUGCCUACCUCCAAGCUCUCUUUGGAUCUAAAGAAUACCUUUAUGUCUGGGCAUGGCUUGCUCCGUGUGUCUGUGAGGCAGGUGAAGAGAGGUCAGGAACCACCGAGGAUGGUGAUGACUAUUCCUAUUUUGCAGCAAGCAGGCUCCCAGCAACUUCCCUGCUGUCCACUCAGAAGUCCAUCCCUCUGAACUUCCAGCUCAGGAACCCUGCUCAGGGUUCCUCCUCCUCCCCAACAUCCAACCACUGCAGGCUCCUGAAUUGAAAGCAUCCCAGGCCUCCUCCAGCCUACGGAAACCACCAGCAGCAUCAGCUCCUCCCUCCGUCUGACCAUUAAAGCACGUGGAAAGGGCCGG
Long non-coding RNA from Fukomys damarensis (Damara mole-rat), 1004 nucleotides. RefSeq lists it as uncharacterized. The transcript has 4 exons. The record is from RefSeq and is a predicted model, not a curated record. NCBI's taxonomy places the organism in Eukaryota, Metazoa, Chordata, Mammalia, Rodentia, Bathyergidae.